Molecule: unclassified non-coding RNA, 23 nt
Filed under: Xenopus laevis (African clawed frog)
Lineage: Eukaryota; Metazoa; Chordata; Amphibia; Anura; Pipidae
Description: spacer
Source: RNAcentral
ACAGGUUGUAUAUGGAAAGUAGU